GGAUGAACGCUGGCGGCGUGCCUAAUCCAUGCAAGUCGAGCGAACAGCUAAGGAGCUUGCUCCUUUGACGUUAGCGGCGGACGGGUGAGUAACACGUGGAUAACCUACCUAUAAGACUGGGAUAACUUCGGGAAACCGGAGCUAAUACCGGAUAACAUAUUGAACCGCAUGGUUCAAUAGUGAAAGGCGGCUUUGCUGUCACUUAUAGAUGGAUCCGCGCCGUAUUAGCUAGUUGGUAAGGUAACGGCUUACCAAGGCAACGAUACGUAGCCGACCUGAGAGGGUGAUCGGCCACACUGGAACUGAGACACGGUCCAGACUCCUACGGGAGGCAGCAGUAGGGAAUCUUCCGCAAUGGGCGAAAGCCUGACGGAGCAACGCCGCGUGAGUGAUGAAGGUCUUCGGAUCGUAAAACUCUGUUAUCAGGGAAGAACAAAUGUGUAAGUAACUGUGCACAUCUUGACGGUACCUGAUCAGAAAGCCACGGCUAACUACGUG
Molecule: ribosomal RNA, 498 nt
Filed under: uncultured bacterium
Lineage: Bacteria
Description: partial 16S ribosomal RNA
Rfam family: Bacterial small subunit ribosomal RNA
Source: RNAcentral